RNAcentral lists this ribosomal RNA (427 nucleotides) under uncultured bacterium. RNAcentral's name for it is "bacterial SSU rRNA". It matches the Rfam family "Bacterial small subunit ribosomal RNA", at positions 355 to 774 of the family's 1533-position model. The record is from RNAcentral.
UGGGGAAUUUUGGACAAUGGGCGAAAGCCUGAUCCAGCAAUGCCGCGUGUGCGAAGAAGGCCUUCGGGUUGUAAAGCACUUUUGUCCGGAAAGAAAUCCGCCUGGCUAAUACCCGGGCGGGAUGACGGUACCGGAAGAAUAAGCACCGGCUAACUACGUGCCAGCAGCCGCGGUAAUACGUAGGGUGCGAGCGUUAAUCGGAAUUACUGGGCGUAAAGCGUGCGCAGGCGGCUUUGUAAGACAGAUGCGAAAUCCCCGGGCUCAACCUGGGGACUGCAUUUGUGACUGCAAGGCUAGAGUGCGUCAGAGGGAGGUGGAAUUCCGCGUGUAGCAGUGAAAUGCGUAGAGAUGCGGAGGAACACCGAUGGCGAAGGCAGCCUCCUGGGAUGACACUGACGCUCAUGCACGAAAGCGUGGGGAGCAAACA